CAAUAUUUGUUUCGUGAGCAUGUGUCUGACUUGGGCACCACGACUUGCUUCUGUAAUUUUUCGACUAUGCUCUUUUAAUCUGACGCCAGCAAACUUUUGCAGGAUCACUUUCGCCAGUGAAAUUAUGUGAUCAGGCUCAUCUGCAUAGUGCUGGCACAAUGGUAGCUUGUCAUCAUGUUUUAGGCUGAAGUGAUUAAACGACUUAAAAACUAUCGCCCGGACUACAAGCUUCACAGACCUCCAUUUCUCGAGACGAAAGGUCUGCUCAGCGCAGCACAGCAGACGUGUAACAAAUGGGGAUGGUUUCACCAGCCCUCCAUUAUCCCUGAGCAUGAUGAGAAUUCUUGAUGUCUCGUCAUCUAGGAGUGUGUCCAAACAACCAUUACGGGUGAGUUUUGAGGAAACAAUUCUAACAUUAUAUCCUCCAAUACAGGCUACAAAUGUCCUCGCUGAACCUGCUGAGUCUGGAUGAUUCCCCGUAGUCAUGAUCAGCACACUGAAGGAGGGCACAGAUGUUGUCCUCUGCAGGAACUUCUGCAGUGGGAGCCUGCACUUUCCUCCCUUCGCGGCUUGCCCUGGUGACCGAGUGUCUAUGCCUUCCACUGUAGGCGCGACAUUUGCAGAGCUUGGGGCCUGAACUUCAGCGUGUAUCAGAAGCUUCCUGUAGGCAUGACGGAAUUAGGAAGCAGGUGGGUUGUUAUUCCAUCCACCUCUUUGCCUGAUGCUGCUGAAGAACAGUUCCAAGUGGUCCUGGCUGAGGUGCGCUUCUGCCAGCUGUGCAACACUUUUUAGCGUAAAGGCCAAGCUAAUGACUGACAUGCGUCUCCCAUGCUGAGCAGCUAGCUCCCCGGAUGGAAGUCGCAUCGUCAUCAUUCUUGACGCCAAUUGGCCACAGUCAUGAAAAGGAAAGGCCUACCCAUCUACGUUGGGAAUGAACGAAGCGGUUGCGUCACUUCCUUCAAACUCCGUCAAGCCGAGGAGCCUUGCGUGGGUCAGGGCUUUGCUCACGGACGAACUCAGAGUCUGCGCCACAAGGCGGACCUUCAUGAUCUGGCGCCCAAACUCAAUAUGGGACCUGGCAGUGGAAGAGCUUGAGGAGGGAUGGUGGGCUCUGCUUGCUCAGCACUGGUGUCAUGCAUUUCCUUGGAAAACAUGAAGUGAAGGCAGCCAUACAGAGUGGUGGCUGCAUAAACUACUGUGUACUUACCAGGGAAACUGUGUCAGCACCACUUUCAUCUGGCUGGCUGGCUCUUCCUUGGCUCUACAAAACGUUCUCCCAUUAUCUUCUUUUGUAUCAUUUUAAAAGUAAUAAAGAGCAGCCGGAUA
Molecule: long non-coding RNA, 1326 nt
Organism: Ornithodoros turicata
Lineage: Eukaryota; Metazoa; Arthropoda; Arachnida; Ixodida; Argasidae
Exons: 4
Source: RefSeq, a predicted model, not a curated record